AUGGCCACGGCCACCACUAGACGCCCCGCAAGCCCCUCGGCGAAAUCCACCUCAAGAGAGAGCAGAUCGGACGACAGGAGGUUCUCCAUCUUCUCGGGGACCAAGAGGCUGCACCUGCGGGCCGAGACGAGGGAGGACAUGGCCGCGUGGCUCGAGGCGCUCCGUGCCACCAAGGAGAUGUUCCCGAGGAUGUCCACCAGCGAGAUGGUCGGGCCGGGGGACACUGCGGCGGCCGCGGCGGUCUCCACCGAGCGCCUGAAGAAGCGCCUGCAGCAGGAACGGGUCAGCGAUGCUGCCAUUGCUGACAGCGAGAGGAUCGUGCGGGAGGAGUUUGAGGCGCUGCACAAGCAGCUUGUGCUUCUCAAGCAGAAGCAGGCGCUACUCCUUGACACGCUCCGCCACCUAGAGACAGAAAAGGUCGAUUUGGAGAAUACCCUCAUUGAUGAGAGCCAAAGACAGUCAAAAGAGUAUGGAUCUGCUUCCAGACCAAGGAAUGAGAAGCUUAGUGGUAUGACAAAUUUAGUUAGUGUAAAUCUUACUGCUACACAUGCUAUUGAUAUACGUGCGUUCUGA
Molecule: ribosomal RNA, 573 nt
Filed under: Triticum aestivum (bread wheat)
Lineage: Eukaryota; Viridiplantae; Streptophyta; Magnoliopsida; Poales; Poaceae
Description: partial small subunit ribosomal RNA
Source: RNAcentral